Molecule: long non-coding RNA, 282 nt
Organism: Oncorhynchus keta (chum salmon)
Lineage: Eukaryota; Metazoa; Chordata; Actinopteri; Salmoniformes; Salmonidae
Exons: 3
Source: RefSeq, a predicted model, not a curated record
ACAGCUCAUUGAUGAGAGGUCGGCAGUCCUGUGGGUGACAACAGCUCGGUGAUGAGAGGUCGGCAGUCCUGUGGGUGAAAACAGCUCAUUGAUGAGAGGUCGGCAGUCCUGUGGGUGAAAACAGCUCAUUAAUGAGGUCGGCAGUCCUGUGGGUGAAAACAGCUCAUUGAUGAGAGGUUGACAGUCCUGUGGGUGAAAACAGCUCAUUGAUGAGAGGUCGGCAGUCCUGUGGGUGAAACAGCUCAUUGAUGAGAGGUCGGCAGUCCUGUGGGUGAAAACAGC